GCAUAUCAAUAAGCGGAGGAAAAGAAAAUAACAAUGAUUCCCCUAGUAACUGCGAGUGAAGAGGGACAAGCUCAAAUUUUAAAUCUGUCGGGUUUACCUGACCGAGUUGUAAUUUGAAGAAGCGUUUUCUGCACUGUUUGAUCAGCCCAAGUCCUAUUGAAUGAGGCAUCAUGGAGGGUGAUAAUCCCGUCCGGUUGAUCAUUGUGCUCUACGAUACGCUUUCAAAGAGUCAAGUUGUUUGGGAUUGCAGCUUAAAAUGGGGGGUAAAUUUCUCCUAAGGCUAAAUAACGGCGAGAGACCGAUAGCGAACAAGUACCGUGAGGGAAAGAUGAAAAGAACUUUGAAAAGAGAGUUAAACAGUACGUGAAAUUGUUGAAAGGGAAACGAUUGAAGCCAGUCGUACCUAUGGGUAAUCAGCCUUUUGGGUGUGAUUUUGUGGAGCGUGAGGAGUUAAACGCCUUCAUGCCUGCAUAUUCGUGCACUUUGGGUGUACUUGCCCGUGUGUAAGUUAACAUCAAUUUUGGUGGUCAUAAAAUGGCUGGAGGAAUGUAGCUUCGAUCUUGUAUUGAAGUGUUAUAGCCUUCGGUAGAUGUGACGAUCGGGAUUGAGGAUUGCAACGGAUACCCUUCGGGGCUACCUGUCUGAUCUCUGAUUGUUGCUCUGGUACCGAAAGCUUGCUUACGGUUAUCAAAGUCGAUGGUCAAUAGGUUAGAACGGGUUAAAUUCGUUAAGGAUGUUGACGUA
This 744-nucleotide ribosomal RNA is filed under the name uncultured Glomerales. RNAcentral describes it as "LSU rRNA". It matches the Rfam family "Eukaryotic large subunit ribosomal RNA", at positions 38 to 633 of the family's 3401-position model. The record is from RNAcentral. Lineage: Eukaryota; Fungi; Glomeromycota; Glomeromycetes; Glomerales; Glomeraceae.